This 468-nucleotide ribosomal RNA is filed under the name uncultured bacterium. RNAcentral describes it as "partial 16S ribosomal RNA". It matches the Rfam family "Bacterial small subunit ribosomal RNA", at positions 28 to 507 of the family's 1533-position model. The record is from RNAcentral.
GACGAACGCUGGCGGCGUGCUUAACACAUGCAAGUCGAACGGAAAGGCCCUGCUUUUGUGGGGUGCUCGAGUGGCGAACGGGUGAGUAACACGUGAGUAACCUGCCCUUGACUUUGGGAUAACUUCAGGAAACUGGGGCUCAUACCGGAUAGGAUCUCCUGCUGCAUGGUGGGGGUUGGAAAGUUUCGGCGGUUGGGGAUGGACUCGCGGCUUAUCAGCUUGUUGGUGGGGUAGUGGCUUACCAAGGCUUUGACGGCUAGCCGGCAUGAGAGGGUGACCGGCCACAUUGGGACUGAGAUACGGCCCAGACUGCUACGGGAGGCAGCAGGGGGGAAUAUUGCACAAUGGGCGGAAGCCUGAUGCAGCAACGCCGCGUGCGGGAUGACGGCCUUCGGGUUGUAAACCGCUUUCGCCUGUGACGAAGCGUGAGUGACGGUAAUGGGUAAAGAAGCACCGGCUAACUACGUG